AGCGAACGCUGGCGGCAGGCUUAACACAUGCAAGUCGAACGGGCAUCUACGGAUGUCAGUGGCAGACGGGUGAGUAACACGUGGGAACGUACCCUUCGGUUCGGAAUAACUCAGGGAAACUUGAGCUAAUACCGGAUACGCCCUUUUGGGGAAAGGUUUACUGCCGAAGGAUCGGCCCGCGUCUGAUUAGCUUGUUGGUGGGGUAACGGCCUACCAAGGCGACGAUCAGUAGCUGGUCUGAGAGGAUGAUCAGCCACACUGGGACUGAGACACGGCCCAGACUCCUACGGGAGGCAGCAGUGGGGAAUAUUGGACAAUGGGCGCAAGCCUGAUCCAGCCAUGCCGCGUGAGUGAUGAAGGCCUUAGGGUUGUAAAGCUCUUUUGUCCGGGACGAUAAUGACGGUACCAGAAGAAUAAGCCCCGGCUAACUUCGUG
Molecule: ribosomal RNA, 435 nt
Filed under: uncultured bacterium
Lineage: Bacteria
Description: partial 16S ribosomal RNA
Rfam family: Bacterial small subunit ribosomal RNA
Source: RNAcentral